Molecule: long non-coding RNA, 464 nt
Organism: Ictalurus punctatus (channel catfish)
Lineage: Eukaryota; Metazoa; Chordata; Actinopteri; Siluriformes; Ictaluridae
Source: Ensembl
CUGGUCAGCAAACCCCCAAGAAACACAUGACUCUCUUUCUCUCUCUCUCUCUCUCUCUCUAACACACCCACACACACGCACGCACACCCACAUACCCACAUACACACACACUUCAGACACUGUCACCAGAGCUCAUAAAUGUAAAAUUUACACUAUCUACAGAACUGUCACCCUGGGAAAACACAUGUGUAGGACGGUGUGUAUAGGCCUACAAGACAUCGCCCCGGAAAAUGUGUCUUCUAGUUUAAACAAAACUCUCGAUUCUUUUAAGCAGCACUUUAAACAUUUUACACCCUAAAGGGUUAGGUUUAGAAGGCAUGUAAUACGCACGUUUCUUAUAAAACACCGUCUUUAAAAUGUUUACCUCCUAAAGGGACCUAUUUAGAAGAGUGUUAGAGGACCUGUAGACUGAACAAAUACUAAGGACAUUACAAUGCUUAACUGAUGAGGAACUUGGAGAUGGG